This is a long non-coding RNA of Oncorhynchus tshawytscha (Chinook salmon), 783 nucleotides long. NCBI's taxonomy places the organism in Eukaryota, Metazoa, Chordata, Actinopteri, Salmoniformes, Salmonidae. The record is from Ensembl.
GGGAAGGGGAACUAAAUGAAAGAAGUCAAGUUAGAGAAAAUAUUAACAGCAAAAGAGAGAAACACAAAAGGAGAGAAAUUCUAUUUAAAAAGUCCUUCAGUCUGUAAAAGAAUGAGGUGACUACAAAGACCAAGAGCAUCAAGGAGAGAAAGAACAAUCCCAAUGCAGGUAGCUGCUGUUACUAUAGCGACAACGGAAGAGGAGAGUUUGGAUUUCUAAAGUCAACUGUCAGCAGGAUAAAGGUAGAAAGUGAAGCCGCUCAACAACUACAUCACAUUAGUCAUCUAACAGACUCCCAUUCAGAGCGACACACAGAAGCAACCAGAGUCAACGCCCUGCUCAAUGGCACGUCGACAGAUCUCCCACAAGGUAUAAAAAAAGAACGGGGACCUGAACCAGCAAUCCAUCAGCCACCAGCCCUAGUUCCCAACCUCCAGGCCACCAGCCCUCCAAGAUCCCCCCCACAGUUCCCCAAGAGCUGCCCCUCAACCAUCCGAGACCCCUCCCACAGCCCCCCAAGAAAAGAUAUAUAUAUUUUGAAAUCCAUUACCCACCCCCCAAAUAACCAAGAAAAUGAACAAAAGAGGAAAAGACAAAGACAAAGGAAAACAGAUAAUAACAAUGCAAAAAAACAAGAGACAUCAAGGACAACAAAAAUCAUAACAGCAAGGCCAGCGGAAUAUGUCUGAGUGCAUUAUUGGCACUUUUUACCUGUGUGUGUAUUUGACUGAGAGUGUGUGUAUAAACACCUGCAAAGCAUCAGCCACAGGCAACCUGGCAUUA